CAUCCUAACUCCUAUGAGAUUUAUUCAACUUCCAAGUGAUUCUCCACUACUUUAUGUAUCACAAUCAAGCUUCUUACUUCGCGAUUCAUCCUGGUUUGAUUAGAAUGACAAAGAAAUUCUCAUAUUCCCAAACAGAAAAACUGGGAUCGCCUGAUUUGAAAGUGGGAUAGCUUCUUCAUCCUAACUCCAAUGAGAUUUAUUCAACUUCCUGGUUAUUCUCCACUACUCUAUGUAUCAAAAUCAAGCUUCUUACAUCACGAUUCAUCUUGGUUUGAUAAGAAUGACAAAAAGUUGUCAUAUUCCCAAACACAAAAACUGGGAUCACCUGAUUUGAAAGUGGGAUAGCUUCU
Molecule: long non-coding RNA, 350 nt
Filed under: Brassica napus (rape)
Lineage: Eukaryota; Viridiplantae; Streptophyta; Magnoliopsida; Brassicales; Brassicaceae
Description: long non-coding RNA (BNAP_LNC024697)
Source: RNAcentral